This 305-nucleotide ribosomal RNA is filed under the name uncultured bacterium. RNAcentral's name for it is "bacterial SSU rRNA". It matches the Rfam family "Bacterial small subunit ribosomal RNA", at positions 337 to 635 of the family's 1533-position model. The record is from RNAcentral.
UCCUACGGGGGGCAGCAGUAGGGAAUUUUCGUCAAUGGGCGCAAGCCUGAACGAGCAAUGCCGCGUGAACGAGGAAGGUCUUCGGAUCGUAAAGUUCUGUUGAAGGGGAAAAAGAGCGGAGAGAGGAAAUGGUCUCCGAUUGAUAUUACCCUUCGAGGAAGUCACGGCUAACUACGUGCCAGCAGCCGCGGUAAUACGAAGGUGGCGAGCGUUAUCCGGAAUGAUUGGGCGUAAAGGGUGCGUAGGCGGCCUGCUAAGUCUGGAGUGAAAGGUACCGGCUCAACCGGUACAGGCUCUGGAAACUG